CCUACGGGAGGCAGCAGUGAGGAAUAUUGGUCAAUGGACGCAAGUCUGAACCAGCCAUGCCGCGUGCAGGAAGACGGCUCUAUGAGUUGUAAACUGCUUUUGUACGAGGGUAAAUCCCGAUACGUGUAUCGGAUUGAAAGUAUCGUACGAAUAAGGAUCGGCUAACUCCGUGCCAGCAGCCGCGGUAAUACGGAGGAUUCAAGCGUUAUCCGGAUUGAUUGGGUUUAAAGGGUGCGUAGGCGGUUCGAUAAGUUAGAGGUGAAAUCCCGGGGCUCAACUCCGGCACUGCCUCUGAUACUGUCGGGCUAGAGUUUAGUUGCGGUAGGCGGAAUGUAUGGUGUAGCGGUGAAAUGCAUAGAGAUCAUACAGAACACCGAUUGCGAAGGCAGCUUACCAAACUACGACUGACGUUGAGGCACGAAAGCGUGGGGAGCAAACAGGAUUAGAUACCCCAGUAGUC
RNAcentral lists this ribosomal RNA (460 nucleotides) under uncultured bacterium. RNAcentral describes it as "partial 16S ribosomal RNA". It matches the Rfam family "Bacterial small subunit ribosomal RNA", at positions 338 to 795 of the family's 1533-position model. The record is from RNAcentral.